CACCUGGAGUUUACACGCUUCAGGAUCUGAGAGCAUAUGGGAGGGAGAAAGGGUGGUGUCCAUACUUCUUAGCACGGCAUAUGGUGCAGUUUGCAAAUGUGGUGGUUUAUAGUUACCAAUACUUGCUUGAUCCAAAGGUAGCUGGAAUUAUAUCGAAGGAAAUGCAAAAGGAAUCUGUAGUGGUGUUUGAUGAGGCACAUAAUAUUGAUAAUGUCUGUAUUGAAGCACUUAGUGUUAGUGUGAGAAGCAAGACACUUGAUGGGGCUUCCAGAAAUCUGUCAAGGAUAAAUCAGGAGAUUGAGAGGUUCAAGGCCACUGAUGCUGGUAGAUUGCGUGCUGAAUAUAACCGGCUCGUUGAGGGUUUGGCACAGCGGGGAAACCUGGCUGCCACAGAUACAUGGCUUGCAAACCCUGCCUUGCCUGAUGAUAUUCUGAAGGAGGCAGUUCCUGGCAAUAUUCGUCGAGCGGAGCAUUUUCUGCAUGUCUUACGUAGAUUGGUUCAAUACCUGAGAGGGCGGUUGGAUACUGAAAAUGUUGAGAAGGAAAGUCCUAUUAGCUUUGUUGCCUCUUUAAAUACCCAUGCUGGAAUUGACCAGAAAACAUUGAAGUUUUGUUAUGAUCGCCUACACUCACUUAUGCUGACACUGGAAAUAACGGACACAGAUGAGUUCUUACAUAUCCAAACAAUAUGUGACUUUGCAACACUUGUGGGGACAUAUAGUCGUGGAUUUUCCAUCAUAAUUGAACCUUUUGAUGAGAGAAUGCCACAUAUUCCUGACCCUGUAUUGCAGCUUAGCUGCCAUGAUGCUUCUCUUGCCAUAAAGCCAGUAUUUGAUAGGUUCCAGUCAGUUGUGAUUACUUCUGGAACGCUGAGCCCUAUUGACCUCUACCCUCGUCUUCUUAACUUCCAUCCUGUUGUCAGUCGAAGCUUUACAAUGUCCUUGACAAGAGAUUGCAUAUGCCCUAUGGUUCUCACUCGUGGAAGUGACCAACUUCCAGUAAGUACCAAAUUUGAUAUGAGAAGUGAUCCAGGUGUUGCAAGAAACUAUGGGAAGCUGUUGGUGGAGAUGGUAUCUGUUGUUCCAGAUGGAAUUGUAUGCUUUUUUGUCAGUUACUCUUACAUGGAUGGAAUUAUCAACAGCUGGAAUGAAACUGGAGUUCUUAAGGAAAUAAUGCAACAUAAGCUUGUAUUUAUUGAGACCCAAGAUGUGGUAGAAACUACAUUGGCUCUUGACAACUAUCGCAGGGCUUGUGAUUGUGGGAGAGGUGCAGUCUUUUUCUCCGUUGCCAGGGGAAAAGUAGCCGAAGGAAUAGACUUUGAUCGACACUAUGGUAGAUUAGUGAUCAUGUUUGGUAUUCCUUUCCAAUAUACCUUAAGCAAAAUAUUAAUUGCACGGUUGGAGUAUCUACGGGACACAUUUCAAAUAAAGGAGGGCGAUUUCCUAACAUUUGAUGCCUUGGUAUGAUUCUUCUGCUAUUUUUAAUAUUGUAUGGAUCAAAAAUCAAAAUUUAUGUUCUACUGUGAGGUUUCAGGUUUUAUGUCUGCUUUAGAGAUUAUGAUCAUAUUCUUGGGAUUCUGUUGAAACAGAGACAAGCUGCUCAAUGUGUGGGCCGAGUGAUCAGGUCAAAGGCUGAUUAUGGAAUGAUGAUAUUUGCUGAUAAAAGAUAUAGCCGUCAUGACAAGCGCUCAAAAUUGCCUGGUUGGAUACUGUCGCAUUUACGUGAUGCAAACUUGAAUUUGAGCACUGACAUGGCUUUGCAUAUUGCACGCGAGUUUCUCCGGAAGAUGGCUCAACCAUAUGAUAAAACAGGCACUGGCGGUAGGAAAACAUUGCUGUCACAGGAAGACCUGGAGAAGAUGGCUGAAAAUGGAGUACAAGAGAUGUUGUUUUAAGGAUUUAUUCCGACAAGUUUUCACUUAAAGAUGUUUGGUCAGCUUUUCAUUCAAUGUUCUUGCAGCAUGAAGAAUUGGUUUUAGCAUUGGGAUUUUGAUGUUGUGAGAUGCUUUAUUGGACUUCGGAAGACAUCACAAUAUGUAUACUGUUGCUUAGGUCCCCGUGCGUGCCAAAGCUUCUGCAUAAGGCUGCUUCCAAAAGUUCAAAAAGUAUGGCUAACAAAAUGUAUUAAUGAAAAUCUGAGCACUCGACUCUGCUCUGCAAGACGAGGAUCUAAUCAAUAGAAAAUGAUUGAUAAUUCACUCCAUACAAGUGCCAAGUGAAGUUAUUAAGCUGAUUGUGCUUAGCGUUUACUGUUGCAUUGAAAAUAAUCAUUAUAGCCGUACUUUUGAUCGACUCAAAGGUUAGUGCAACUGUUAGCGAUGCCCAUUUCUAAUGCUAGUUUUGUUAAUUAUCUGGCCAAAUGGAACAAUAAAAAUAUUUUAUUUCUUGGUGCUAAAAAUAAUACAUGCUACGCUGAAACUUAAAGGACUUGUCGAUUACAUUUCAGGAAUGACCUCCUGGUCUCAACCCUGCAAUAAUAUGUUUCUAAAAUUAUACACACCUAACUGAGAUGAUCAUCACUUACAAAAAGGAGAAGAAAAAGGGUAAAAGCCUUAGGUAAUCUACAACUACAAAUACAGAAAAGUCAGUCACGAGGAUUAGGGAAUUAUCUGAUGGAUUGCCCUCUUUACCUCCACAAUGCUUACCUUCUUUCCAGCA
RNAcentral lists this unclassified non-coding RNA (2657 nucleotides) under Hevea brasiliensis (rubber tree). Lineage: Eukaryota; Viridiplantae; Streptophyta; Magnoliopsida; Malpighiales; Euphorbiaceae. The record is from RNAcentral.